RNAcentral lists this long non-coding RNA (419 nucleotides) under Marmota monax (woodchuck). Lineage: Eukaryota; Metazoa; Chordata; Mammalia; Rodentia; Sciuridae. The record is from RNAcentral.
GUGCUUAGCAACACCCCUCCCGAAGCCGCAGCUCCUGAGGCCGGUCCUCUUCCAGGUGGCCCCUCAAGGCCCCGCUCCAGGACCUGCCCAGGCUCGGCUGGAGCAAAGGCUGUCAGACCCUUCCUGCCAUCUCCUCACCCCCAGGGCCUCUGUUAGUGGACAGUGAAACCAAGGACGCGAAACUGCCCUGUAGCCAGCUGCUGCUGGCCCUGAAGCCGCUGCCAAGCCCGUCCCCCUGAGCAGAAGCUCUGGAACACCAGAGCCCCGACCCCAGGCUGUGGCUCCAUCGAGGCCCCAGGUCUCAGGACCCUCCCGAUGGAUGUCCAGGAUGGUUUGUCACAGGCCACGGCCUGCUAUCCAUGCCCUAGGAGUGGGACCUCAGUGGGAAGGAGGGAUGUUGGGCAGACCCGUCCGUCUCA